Molecule: long non-coding RNA, 5291 nt
Organism: Hypanus sabinus (Atlantic stingray)
Lineage: Eukaryota; Metazoa; Chordata; Chondrichthyes; Myliobatiformes; Dasyatidae
Exons: 3
Source: RefSeq, a predicted model, not a curated record
AUUUCCACCACUAUUUUGGAUGCUAAAUUUUAGAUCAUAAUAAUUGGCUAUAGGAACUAAUUCUCAAGUCCUCUCUGGUUUCUUUAAAACUUUAAAUCUAUGUCCUCUGAUUAUGUAAUUGUCAUGUAAGGAAAGUAAGUCUCCUUUUAUUUCCAUCUUAAAUAUUCUCACUGCCUCAAUAAAAUAGCCAACAUAAUCAAAGAGCCCUCCCAGCCCAGUUAUUCUGCGUUGCCAACCAUUCCGACAUGCGAAGGUCUGAAAGCAAAUGUUACCAGGUUCAAGGACAGCUUCUACCACGCUGUUAUACGACUAUUGAACGGACCUCUUGUAUGAUUAAAUGAACCCUUGACCUCACAAUCUAUCUUGCACCUUAUUGGCAGCUUGCACUGCACUGUCACACAAUUUUCUGCAAUCCCUUUUUGUUUUUCCCUAGUUUUACUUGAUGGUCUGUUGAGAUGAUUUAUGUAAGCGAAUGUGAUGUAACACAAUGUUUUUCACUAUAUCUCGGUAAAUGUGACAAUAAAAAAACUAAUUUACCAAAUUAUCAAUUUUGUAUGCCACUGUUAAAUCACCAUUUAAUCUCUGAAAAGAGCAUAUUACAUUGAAGUUUCCAAGAUCCCUUUAUAAGAAAAUGGUGUUCCACCAAUGAUUACUUUCAGAAAGGCAAGCACUGCCUUAAGAUCAGUUCAGACAUUGCUAUAAUAGCAGACUGUGUUGUUACAACAGUUUCAAAGAAAUAUGGGGGUGUUUGUUUGUGAGCAGUAGUGUCCUGUCUAGUCAGAACGCCUACGUGCUUCUGCUUAUUUAAUCAUAAAUCACAUAUUGUAUGUCCCCAGAUAAAACACAGUCAAACAUUAACUCUCAUAAAUCACUUAAUGCUUAACUAGCUGAGAAAAUGCUUCACUCACUCUGACACUGGAGAAUUCAUGACACUUUCUGAGAUCUCAGCUCUGAGCUGGGAUUUAUAAAAGUCAGCUUGUGCACGUAUUUGCUUCAGUGCGGACGGAAAGAUGGUGAUGCAAAAAUGAAGGAGAGAUUAACCAGAUUGGACUUCUAUUGUCUAAACAUAGACUGUUUGACAAGGUUGAUGUUUUGCUUGGCUGGUGUGUCUGUAACUAGGGGUCACUGUCUCAAGAUAAGCAGUUUGCUAUUUAGGAUUAAGAUUAGCUGGAACUUCAUCACCCAGAGGAGUUUGCUGCCCAAGAGGGCCUUGGAAGUUCAGUCAGUGAGAAUAUAAAAAGGAAGAGAUCAUUGUUUUUUACAUUAAGGACAGGUACCUGGAUAGGAAAUGCUUAGAGGGAUAUGGGCCAAAUGCAAGCAAAUAGGAUUAUUUUAGAUGGAAAUAUAGGUCAGCAUGGGCUAGUUGGAUACUAGGGCCUGUUUCUAAGCUGUAUGAUUCUACAAGAUAUGGGUAAGGUAACGGAGGGAUAGAAGAUUAUUGGUGAUGUUACUGAAUACCAAAGCAGAGACCUGGGGCCGAAUGGCGUACUCUCGCAGUUUCUUGUUCUGAUCUAACAUUGAAACUUGACUGUGGACAUCUUUGGAUAGCACAAUGUCUUUGAAAUGCAGCGUAAAAUCAUCCCAGAGUCCUGUAAUCAUCAUGUGAUUGUUUGGAAGUUCCUUGAUGUUAAAUUUCCCAUUUCAGUUUUAAUCUCUUCUUAUCACUUUCAUUCCUGUCUCUCUAAUCUGUCACCCGUGAGAAUUCUGCAGUCUUUAAUUCUGAACUCUUAAAUAUCCCUUUAUGUAGCUCUUUGUAUGGAAACAGUUCGCUAUCAAAGCUGGAAAUUCUGGAAUUCAUAGGCUAAGCCUCUCAACACUCUCCAUCUUUCUACCUCUCUUCCUCAUUCCUUAAAAUCCCUCUCAUAGCCAAUUUUUUGUUCAAUCUCCCUGAUAUCUCUUUUCAUGAUUUAGCAUCUUUCAUCAGAUCAUAAAGCACAAUGACAAGUCCUUCAGCUCAUCAAGUCAAUGCCAGCCACCAAUAUUUACCCAUAGUAAUUCUAUCUAUCAAAAAUCAGUCUACACCUUCCAUGUUUUAAAGAUAAGGAUGAGCUUUGUUUGUCGCAUGUACAUUGAAACAUACAGUGAAAUGCAUUGUCUGCAUCAAAUCAAGUCAGCGAGGAUUAGACUGGGCAGCCCACAAGUGUUGCCAUGCUUCCAGUGUCAACAUAGCAUGCUUACAAUUCACCUAACUGUAAGUCUUUGGACUGUGGGAGGAAACCCAUGUGGUCAAGGGGAAAAUGUACAUAUUCCUCAUAGGUAAUUGGGGAGGGGAAUCAAACACCAACCUUAAAGCUGGUACUGUAAAAUGUUGCUCUAACUCCUCCAUCAUCUCUCAUUCUGAUAAGAUAUUCAGCUGGCAACAGACUUAAACAUGCAAAUGAUAGGUGAAGCACACAAAAUGCUAGCUAGCACCUGAAGAAAAAUGAAAGAUUCAUAAAAGCACUGACAGCAUAGAAACACUGUACAGACCAGCUGCGUCUUCUCCAAAACUUACACUUGAUCCCACGGUUGGUAUUUGGUGAAAAUAUUUGAUUGCUUUACCAUUGCCAUGAACCCAAUCAGGUGAAGGCCGAUGAUAGGAUGCAGUUCCUUUAUAACAGCCACCACAGUUGAGUAAUCAGUCCUUUGUCUAUUCGUAAGCUCAAGAUUCUGAAUGCCACAAUGUUAAACUGCAUUCUGGUUAGAGAUGAGUGAGGCAAAUGUUUGCAGUAGGAAACACUCAUGGUUGCCUGCCUGGUGCUGGUAUGGUUGUUAGUUAGUUUUGGUAUGGCUGUGUUCUCCAAGUAAACAAGUGCUGUGUGCGUGACCCUGAGGCACCCUCUCUUCCCCUCCACCUGUUGCUCAGUUAACACAGGAUUGUUUUUUCUCCUUUUUCUCUCCUGCAUCACCUUUGCCAUUAAUAGAAUGAGUCAUUAGCUGGCAUAAUCUGAGACUUAUCUGCAGUCCUUGAGAUGAACGAUUCCACCUACAGCAUUGGCAGAAACUGUGCUGUUUGUUAAUGUUUGACGUCUGAGUCACUGCUGUUGCCUCUGCGUACUGCUCCUCAGUGACCUGUGGUGAGGUAAUGCUUUCAGUCGAUACUGGAUGUUGCAGAUCACCUGCACUGUUCCACCUAAUGGUAACUGAGUUUUCAGAAGGUGUUUUGCUUGAGUUGGUUAACUUGGUUAACUGGAGUGACAAACAAAUCUCUUGUUUUUGUCUUUGAAUGCGUCCACAGUCUGAACUCUCACAGCAACAGUAAUCUUCUUUCAGUCUCGAGCUCCCUGAGGUACCGAUAGUUCAGAUUUCCUGCUCAGCUCUGAACUUAAAUGCCUCAUCACAAGCCUGUCUGAAGCUGACGGCACUCCUUUCCCUCCUUUGAGGCAUUCCUUUAAACAGGUUCUGUUUAAACUUUCAGUCGCCUGCAACUAACAUCACCUCAUGUGGCUCAGUGUCAGCCUGUGUUUGGCAAUGCUCCCAUGAAGCCUUAUUCACAUCACUGGACAAUUAGAAUGGAAGGUGGCAUUCGAAUGACAUUGGAGUGUGAAGGCAAAGACUUUUCUCUAACUGCUGUGUAAAUUGUGGUCUUCAUUUGCAAGGUAGAAUAAUCCAACACCUCGUAAGAUAAUUGUAGUCCAUUUUGUAAAUCACUGCCAUCACCUCACAUUUCCUCAUGACAUUGAUGAUUAUUUUAACAGGGAUUUCAGCUCACAGUGAUAACUCAGCUAAAAAGGAUUAAUGAAUGAGGACAGGUUUUAUUGACCAACAUUGGGCAUAAGGGAAUAAAGGAGUCAUCUGAUUUCUUGUUAACAAUUAAAGAAUUCAGAAAUAAUUUCACCAGGGCCAACCUUAGUCACAGGCUUGGCCGGAAGAGGUGAAGUGCAAAUGUCUCCCCUUGCUUUUGAGGCAGGAUUUCAGCAUGUGGCAUCGAGGUGUCCUGACAGAACGAAGUCACUGGGCAUCAAAGUGAUUGCACUGCAGGAUUUCCAUAGGUGCUGCCAGACCUUCUGAGUUCCUCCAGGAUUUGUGUGUGUUGCGCUGGAGAGAGUGCAGACUUCACCAAGAAGAGUUUGUAAAAAGAAUGGAAAAGCUGGACUUUUUUACUCCACAGUGAAGGAGAGAGAGGUGUAAAAUCAUGAGACAUAGUUAAAGCAGAUGAGGCAUUGAGAACAAGAGUUCAGGGGUUUAAGGUGAGAGGACGGAAUUGUAAAGAGGAUUUGAGAGGAAUAUAUUUUUACACAGAGAGUGGUUGAUGUCUGGAAAGUGUCACCAGAGGGGGUGAUGGAAUCAGAUACAUUUAAGAGGCAUUUAAACAAAUUUAUGGAUAGGCAAGGCAUAGGUAGACGUAAAGCAGCGGAAUGGAAGUAGAAUUAGAAAUCAGUCUGGAUCUGGAGGCUGCCCAGAGGAGGGCUAUCCUUGGAUGAGAGGUGAGACAUGUUGUGUAGCUGUGAGUUGCCCCCAGCAUGCAGGACAGCAUAAUGAUCUAUUUGGAAUGAUAGGAGAAUAAAAUGGGAUUACAGAGAGACUAGUGUACAUGGCUGGCAUGGACUCAUUUGUCUGUGAUGUUUGUCUCUCUCUGGUCUUUUGGGUGAAGCAUUUGCCUUUUCAACCGGACAUAACAUAUUCCACAGUGCUAUAGUGAAGGAGAAUUCUUCGGCUUUUUCUGGUCAAUAUUUACUUCACAACCAACAUCCUCCGAAGAAUAUGCAGCUGGUUGUUAUUAUUUCACUCUUCGGACAGUAUGAAUGCAUUUUAUGGACUGCCUAUGAUACAACUAUUUGGUUUGGAUACUUACGGUGUGGUAACAGGACCUUCUGGCCCAAAGUGCCCCAGUUACACCCACGUGAGCAAUUGACCUUCUAACCCGUGGAGCCUAUUGGAAAGCUCUUUCAAAGAGCCAACAUGGGGAAAAUGGGACAAAUGGCCUCCCCGUGCAAUAUAACCACAUACAAGUUGGAUGGAGGAACAUUGCACAAAAAUAGAACUAUUCAGUGUAUAACUGGCAGGACCCAAGUCUGAGGGUGGGUGAAAGAGCCAGGUGGCAGUUGAAUUUAGCCUCCUGGGCCUCUCUUGAACACUUACUAACAGUCUACUUGUUAUUGUCCCUAACAGGGGGAGUUACAGGGCAGUCAGGCAGUUGGGCUCUGGGAGGCUGCCAUCAACAGGGACCAAAGUUGAGUUUAGAGCUUACAAGAGGCAACACUGGACAACAGUUAUUCACAUAUCUAGCCCAAAGCAAAGAAACCAAAAAUAAAUAGAUCAAACCCAGCAAGUCACUUUACAAAAACAUUAAUGUUGCAAUUACUCAAAGC